RNAcentral lists this ribosomal RNA (458 nucleotides) under uncultured bacterium. Its description in RNAcentral is "partial 16S ribosomal RNA". It matches the Rfam family "Bacterial small subunit ribosomal RNA", at positions 29 to 507 of the family's 1533-position model. The record is from RNAcentral.
AACGAACGCUGGCGGCAUGCCUAACACAUGCAAGUCGAACGAGACCUUCGGGUCUAGUGGCGCACGGGUGCGUAACGCGUGGGAACCUGCCCUUAGGUUCGGAAUAACUCCCCGAAAGGGGUGCUAAUACCGGAUAAUGUCUUCGGACCAAAGAUUUAUCGCCUUUGGAUGGGCCCGCGUUGGAUUAGCUAGUUGGUAGGGUAAAAGCCUACCAAGGCGACGAUCCAUAGCUGGUCUGAGAGGAUGAUCAGCCACACUGGGACUGAGACACGGCCCAGACGAGUAAGGGCGGCAGCAGUGGGGAAUAUGGGAGAAGGGGCGAAAGCGGGAGGCAGCCAGAGCGCGUGGGGGAAGAAGGCUUUAGGGUUGUAAAGCACGUGAGUUGGGAAAGAAAAGCAGGAGAAUAAUACCCCGAUGUUCCGGCGGUACCCAAAGAAUAAGCAACGGCUAACGGAGUG